GAUGAACGCUGGCGGCGUGCCUAAUACAUGCAAGUCGAGCGAACAGACGAGGAUCUUGCUCCUCUGACGUUAGCGGCGGACGGGUGAGUAACACGUGUAUAACCUACCUAUAUUACUGGGAUAACUACGGGAAACCGGCUCUAAUACCGUAUAAUAUAUUGAACCGUGUGGGUCAUUAGUGAAAGACGGUUUUGCUGUCACUACUCGAGGCAUCCGGGCCGGAUUAGGUAGUUGUUAAGGUAACGGGUUACCAAGGCAACGAUGCGUAGCCGACCUGAGAGGGUGAUCGGCCACACUGGAACGGAGACACGGUCCAGACUCCUACGAGAGGGCGCAGUAGGGAAUCUUACGCAAUGGGCGAAAGCCUGACGGAGCAACGCCGAGUGAGUGACGAAGGUCUUCGGAUCGUAAAAAUCUGUUACUAGGGAAGAACAAAUGUGUAAGUAAAUAUGCACGUCUUGACGGUACCUAAUAAGAAAGCAACGGCUAACUACGUG
This 497-nucleotide ribosomal RNA is filed under the name uncultured bacterium. Its description in RNAcentral is "partial 16S ribosomal RNA". It matches the Rfam family "Bacterial small subunit ribosomal RNA", at positions 28 to 507 of the family's 1533-position model. The record is from RNAcentral.